Molecule: non-coding RNA, 244 nt
Organism: Pelobates cultripes (western spadefoot toad)
Lineage: Eukaryota; Metazoa; Chordata; Amphibia; Anura; Pelobatidae
Source: the annotation of a GenBank genome assembly
GAACAGGGCACUGAUAACAAGCAGGUUAGGGUUUAAAUAACCAUAAAACACUGCUGAUUGUUUCAAAUGGGUCCUUUGACCCCAGAACAUGUGUGUGCUUUAAUAUUGUGAUGACACUUGCAUUUUUGCAUCACGUUUGACGUUUUUGGGGCAGCGCUAUAAGAUUUCAUGGUACUGCAGUGGCCGGCAUCCUUAUUGAUGCUGGACCUGAGUGCUUUAGCAGACACGGCUCGGGCAGAAAGAU